UGCUUUCCUGUAUUGCCAGGGCUGAUGGAAGCCAAGGAGCAGCCUGAUUACUCCUCCCACGGACUCCUGGCUGAAGGAAAAUUAACCCUCAGGCUGCAGCUGUAUUUCAUCUUGAAUGACAGGAAGGGAGGGGAGAUCCCGGCCGUUUUUCAUGUCCUGCCUAACUGCUGCUUUCAGUGAUUUUUUUUCCAUACACGCAAUUGGAAGACAAAUAACUGCCCCUUAUCCACCUAAGGAGAGGUGGUGAUUUGACAUAAUUAACUGCAAUUGGGUGUACUUUCAGUAUUUUAUCAGCUGCACAUUUUUGGAGUGGCUUUCCUAGGUAAAGCAGAAAACUAUCUCAACCUGGGCACGGCAGGCAGAGAAGCAGAGGGGACAGCACAGUCGGAUGAGGCAGACGUGAAUCCUGUGAGAGAGCCGCCCGCCUCUCUGGGCGGCCCACAAGCAGCUCUGCCCUCUCCAGGAGGGCUCUCUGGCCACGCCUCCUCUGGGGCAGCCCUUGGAAGAGCUCGAGGGCACUUGCACUGCUCCGGACGAGAAGGAGGCGUGCCGAAAAACAUCAAAUCCACACCUACAGGAGGAGGACGGCGUGGGAAGGGAGGGAGGGAAGACGGGGAGGACAACGCAACUUACAUGCCAAGCUCGCAGAAGCCUCUUCCACUACGAGGCAAAUCUCCGGCGCUCCCGGGGAGCUCUGCCCCAGCAGUGAGGAGGAGAUAAGGAUGAGGGGAUAAGGAUGAGGAGCCGCCUCGACCGCGCCGCAGACAGCUCCCGCCCCGUCCGGCACAGCUGAGUGCCGCUUCAGCACCACGGACAGCGCCAGCAGCGCCGCCAUGGGGAGCCGCGUCCGCGCAGCACCGCGCAGCGCCCCGCGCCUCUAGAGUGAAGCCGAGCCGGCCCCGACGCGCACAUGUAAGCUGCUGCCCCUGCGCGGAGCGGCGAGCAGCGGGUUCUGCCUCUUCCAGAGCCGAUUCUCUUUUCGUCUGGCUCCGAUACCAGUCCUUAGUCGUGUUCUAGGAAGUUUUUUGGGAUUGGAGAUGUCUCGGUGUAGCUCAGUCUUCCACGACCCUGGGUCUGGGCUGGCAUUGAGAGGGGUGGGUGGCUAUGUGUGCAAUCGCUUUGGCUUGCUACCCUUGGAAUUAGUGAAAGCUGCUUGGUUUUAGUGCACCUGCAAGGGUUUGCUGUUUGUUGCAGGAUAUAUGGUUUGGAGCCACGCUUUUGUCUUCCCUUAUAGCUGGACGAUUUUUUUUAAGGGUUUGUUUGUCUUGGAAACAGUUUGACCAACACAAAAAGAGAAAAAAUAACAGGUCUUAAAAUUCAACAUUGUAUCAUGUCUGUUUCACCUUGCUGGGUCUGAGUGUCAGGAAUCUUUUCAUGUUUUUUCUUGUCUUGUGACAAAUAUCAAGUGAGCAAGUGAAAAGGGUACAGCAACUGGGAAAAACAAAAUACACUCAGAACUGAGAUUUUAAGUUCUUUUCAGACGUUUUUCUUUCUUUUUUCAAUAGAACUGUUUGUUGAAAUUCAGCGUUACACUGCCCCCUGCUUGCACAAUUAGAAAAAAUUUUCAUUAUUGUCAUCAGUAGUAAAAAUUUAUGAAUGAACAGGUAUUCCUCUGUUGUGUUCUGGGUGUGAUCUCAGCUUGACUUUUGAAGUGCUUCAGCAGAUAGGAUAAAUCAGUCUUAAUUCAACAGGCUAGAUGUAUUUAUUUAUUCACAGUAACAGAUUCUCUUCAUGGCAGUUCAUUUGGUGGCCAAACAUGUUAAUGAUUGAAGAGUUGGAGACAAUGUAAGAGUAGAGCUGAUUUUGAUAUAUCUCACAAACAUUCUGUAAUAGCUUUGGAAUAAUCAGUCAUUUUCAGUAGUAUCUCUGAAGGAGCAAUAAGAAAUGGAGAAAAUAACCCUGUAAAUAUGUUAUAAAACAAGAGUAAAUUGAAUACAAGAAUCCGGAUGAUUAUUUCACAGCCUCUUCUAGCAUUAAAGACUUGUAUUGGUGAGGUUUUUUUUUGGAAUGGGAAAGAACAUGCUGAUCCUUAGACUAUGGGAAGGGCUAACAGCUAAGAAGCAAUGAACUUUUAUCUAUUUAUUUUCUUUUUUCUCUGUGUGUGUGAAAGAUAUCUGCUAAAAGUCAUACUCCAUUUCUUUUUCUCAAAGCACAGGGCAGAGCUACCUCCAUUAAAUCAGGGAGGACUUCAGGGAGGACAUUAGAGUUUAGGUGCCAAUAAAGAUUUAGUGUUCUCUCA
Molecule: long non-coding RNA, 2239 nt
Organism: Numida meleagris (helmeted guineafowl)
Lineage: Eukaryota; Metazoa; Chordata; Aves; Galliformes; Numididae
Source: Ensembl